CCUACGGGAGGCAGCAGUAAGGAAUAUUGGUCAAUGGACGAAAGUCUGAACCAGCCAUGCCGCGUGAAGGAUUAAGGUCCUCUGGAUUGUAAACUUCUUUUAUAGGGGACGAAAAAAGGGCAUUCUUGCUCUCUUGACGGUACCCUGUGAAUAAGCACCGGCUAACUCCGUGCCAGCAGCCGCGGUAAUACGGAGGGUGCAAGCGUUAUCCGGAUUCACUGGGUUUAAAGGGUGCGUAGGCGGGUAGGUAAGUCAGUGGUGAAAUCUCGGAGCUUAACUCCGAAACUGCCAUUGAUACUAUCUAUCUUGAAUAUUGUGGAGGUUUGCGGAAUAUGUCAUGUAGCGGUGAAAUGCAUAGAUAUGACAUAGAACACCUAUUGCGAAGGCAGCAGGCUACACAUAUAUUGACGCUGAGGCACGAAAGCGUGGGGAUCAAACAGGAUUAGAUACCCUGGUAGUCCACGCCCUAAACGAUGAUUACUCGACAUACGUGAUACACUAUGUGUGUCUGAGCGAAAGCAUUAAGUAAUCCACCUGGGAAGUACGUCCGCAGGAUGAAACUCAAAGGAAUUGACGG
Molecule: ribosomal RNA, 577 nt
Filed under: uncultured bacterium
Lineage: Bacteria
Description: bacterial SSU rRNA
Rfam family: Bacterial small subunit ribosomal RNA
Source: RNAcentral